Molecule: transfer RNA, 86 nt
Filed under: Pseudomonas putida
Lineage: Bacteria; Pseudomonadati; Pseudomonadota; Gammaproteobacteria; Pseudomonadales; Pseudomonadaceae
Also listed under: 1 other name
Description: tRNA-Thr
Source: RNAcentral
UUGCCCGCCGGGCGCUCGGCAAAGCGCUGCAGGUCGGUGGCCUGCAGCAGGUUGGCCAUGCGCUGUUCGCAUUCGCGGCGGCCGAG